RNAcentral lists this small RNA (638 nucleotides) under Pongo abelii (Sumatran orangutan). RNAcentral describes it as "processed transcript". The record is from RNAcentral. Lineage: Eukaryota; Metazoa; Chordata; Mammalia; Primates; Hominidae.
AAACCAAGUAACUCGAGAUAUUGUGGAGAACUGGUCAGUAGAAGAACAAGCAAUGGAAAUGGAUUUGAGUGUCCUUCAACAGGUAGAAGAUCUAGAAAGGAGAGUUGCAUCAGCAAGUUUGCAAGUGAAGGGUUGGAUGUGUCCAGAGCCUGCAUCAGAAAGGGAGGACUUGGUAUAUUUUGAACAUAAGUCAUUUACUAAAUUGUGCAAGGAGCAUGAUGGAGAAUUUACUGGCGAAGACGAAAGCAGUGCACAUGCACUAGAACGGAAGAAUGACAACCCCCUAGAUAUAGCUGUAACCAGGCUGGCUGAUUUGGAGCGGAACAUUGAAAGAAGUACUGCCAAAUCUGUCGAAAGGGAGAUAAUGAAGAACUGCUUCUUCUUUGUGAUGGCUGUGACAAAGGCUGUCAUACCUACUGCCAUAGACCCAAGAUUACAACAAUCCCAGAUGGAGACUGGUUUUGUCCAGCUUGCAUUGCUAAGGCAAGUGGUCAAACUCUAAAAAUCAAAAAACUUCAUGUCAAAGGAAAAAAGACUAAUGAGUCAAAGAAAGGCAAGAAGGUAACUUUAACAGGAGAUACUGAAGAUGAAGACUCUGCAUCUACAAGUAGUUCACUAAAAAGAGGAAACAAAGACCU